UACGUAGGGGCUAGCGUUAUCCGGAAUUACUGGGCGUAAAGGGUGCGUAGGCGGUCUUUCAAGCCAGAAGUGAAAGGCUACGGCUCAACCGUAGUAAGCUUUUGGAACUGCAAGACUUGAGUGCAGGAGAGGAGAGUGGAAUUCCUAGUGUAGCGGUGAAAUGCGUAGAUAUUAGGAGGAACACCAGUAGCGAAGGCGGCUCUCUGGACUGUAACUGACGCUGAGGCACGAAAGCGUGGGGAGCAAACAGGAUUAGAUACCCCUGUAGU
RNAcentral lists this ribosomal RNA (269 nucleotides) under uncultured prokaryote. Its description in RNAcentral is "partial 16S ribosomal RNA". It matches the Rfam family "Bacterial small subunit ribosomal RNA", at positions 524 to 794 of the family's 1533-position model. The record is from RNAcentral.